CACAAAACAAUUGUUUUUCCCCAACUAAAUGAAUCACCAGACAAAAUUUCAUUGUUUUCAUUAGAGAAUCGGCUGCCCAGCUAGGUUAAUUAACUCGCUAAAAUGUUCUCCAGCGGCCCCAACUACAAUAAACUGAAGACAAAUCUUCGAUUGUCUCUGAAUCGCCUAAAAUUGCUCGAAAAGAAGAAGGCGGAGCUGACGCAGAAGUCCCGGAAAGAAAUCGCAGAUUAUCUGUCUGCGGGAAAAAUCGAAAGAGCAAGAAUCCGAGUGGAACACAUUAUCAGGGAGGACUACUUGGUGGAGGCCAUGGAAAUGGUGGAGAUGUACUGCGACUUGUUGCUGGCCAGAUUCGGGCUCAUCACCCAAAUGAAGGAACUGGACGUAGGCAUAGCGGAGCCCGUGGCCAGUCUGGUGUGGGUCUGUCCUCGACUGCAGAGCGAUAUAGCGGAGCUGAAGAUCAUCUCUGACAUUUUUGUGGCCAAGUACGGACCGCAGUUCGGAGAGAACAAUCGCAACGCUACUGGAGAGCAUCAUGUGUCCGAGAAGCUGAUGCACAAGCUAACGCUGCAGGCGCCACCGAAGCUGCUGGUGGAGAACUACCUUAUUGCCAUUGCCAAGAACUACAACAUCGAGUACGAGCCCGAUCCACAGGUGAUGCAGGAGGAAGAUCCCAAUCUGCCGCACUUGAUCGAUCUGUCGGAUAGGAACAACCUCAGUGGAGGAGGAGGAGGUGGGGCCGCCCCGCCCCAAAUGGGCUUUAUCGGUUAUCCGUCGGUGCCCCCACUGCCCAGCAUGCCGAUACCACCAACCAAUAAGCCCUUCAAUUACCCAUCAUUCGGUGGGGGUGCUGGAGGUGGAGGUGGUGCCGCUUGCGCUGCACCACCACAAGCGCCGCCACCAUUUGCCUACAAUAUUCCGCCCAACCAGCCGCCGAAUCUAAACGUGCUACCGGCGAAAUGUGCCGAGGAAAAGGAUCUGAACACCAACUUUAUCAAUCACGAAUUGAACAUUACGGAUGGCUCCGGCAGCCCGGAUGAGAACAUAUUGUCAUCCAAGUGAUUCAUAGUUAGCUGCCCACUCCUCCGCAUUCCUGUUAUCAUUGUGAACUUGUUGAUCGCCCCAAACCCGAAAAUGAUCCGCCGCCGCGUUACACCUCGAUUAAUCCCGCAAAUCUGCAG
Molecule: unclassified non-coding RNA, 1178 nt
Filed under: Drosophila ananassae
Lineage: Eukaryota; Metazoa; Arthropoda; Insecta; Diptera; Drosophilidae
Description: GF10887
Source: RNAcentral